UACGUAGGGUGCAAGCGUUGCCCGGAUUUAUUGGGCGUAAAGGGCGCGUAGGCGGCUCUGCACGUUCGUUGUGAAAUCGCCCGGCUCAACUGGGCGGGGUCAGCGGAUACGGCAGAGCUUGAGCAAGCUAGGGGGCAAUGGAAUUCCCGGUGUAGUGGUGGAAUGCGUAGAUAUCGGGAGGAACACCAGUGGCGAAGGCGGCCCGCUGGGCAGUGGCUGACGCUGAGGCGCGACAGCGUGGGGAGCAAACAGG
Molecule: ribosomal RNA, 253 nt
Filed under: uncultured bacterium
Lineage: Bacteria
Description: partial 16S ribosomal RNA
Rfam family: Bacterial small subunit ribosomal RNA
Source: RNAcentral